AUUGAACGCUGGCGGCAUGCUUUACACAUGCCAGUCGAACGGCAGCACGAAAGAGCUUGCUCUUUUGGUGGCGAGUGGCGAACGGGUGAGUAAUGCAUCGGAACGUACCGAGUAAUGGGGGAUAACUGUCCGAAAGGAUAGCUAAUACCGCAUACGCUUUGAGAAGGAAAGUGGGGGCUCUUCGGACCUCACGUUAUUCGAGCGGCCGAUGUCUGAUUAGCUAGUUGGUGGGGUAAAGGCCUACCAAGGCGACGAUCAGUAGCGGGUCUGAGAGGAUGAUCCGCCACACUGGGACUGAGACACGGCCCAGACUCCUACGGGAGGCAGCAGUGGGGAAUUUUGGACAAUGGGCGCAAGCCUGAUCCAGCCAUGCCGCGUGUCUGAAGAAGGCCUUCGGGUUGUAAAGGACUUUUGUUAGGGAAGAAAAGGAUAGUGUUAAUACCAUUAUCUGCUGACGGUACCUAAAGAAUAAGCACCGGCUAACUACGUG
This 490-nucleotide ribosomal RNA is filed under the name uncultured bacterium. RNAcentral's name for it is "partial 16S ribosomal RNA". It matches the Rfam family "Bacterial small subunit ribosomal RNA", at positions 30 to 507 of the family's 1533-position model. The record is from RNAcentral.